This 225-nucleotide small nucleolar RNA is filed under the name Trifolium pratense (red clover). Its description in RNAcentral is "snoRNA Plant_U3". It matches the Rfam family "Plant small nucleolar RNA U3". From Rfam's summary of the family: Small nucleolar RNAs (snoRNAs) are involved in the processing and modification of rRNA in the nucleolus. The record is from RNAcentral. Lineage: Eukaryota; Viridiplantae; Streptophyta; Magnoliopsida; Fabales; Fabaceae.
AUGAUCUUACUUGAACAGGAUUUGUUCUAUAGGAUUGUACUACUGUGUCCUUGAUUUCUAAAGAGACAGGAACAUACGUUUGAUUGAUGAACUGUGACCGUGUGAUCAGAGCGUGAUUAACUGCUUGGAUGAAGUCUCGUGUGUGAGACCUCAACCUUUGCUGUGGAGGAUCGUUCUCGGCCAGUUUCAUCUGACCGGGGUGGUCACACGGUGUUCUGACAGACU